GCUGGGUGUGGUGGCGGGCACCUGUAAUCCCAGCUACUCAGGAGGCUGAGGCAGGAGAAUUGCUUGAACCCAGGAGGCAGAGGUUGCAGUGAGCCAAGAUCACACCACUGCACUCCAGCCUGGGUGACAGAGUGAGACUCUGUCUCAA
This 148-nucleotide small RNA is filed under the name Papio anubis (olive baboon). RNAcentral describes it as "Metazoan signal recognition particle RNA (ENSPANG00000041149.1)". Lineage: Eukaryota; Metazoa; Chordata; Mammalia; Primates; Cercopithecidae. The record is from Rfam by way of RNAcentral.